GCUUUGUGUCUAGUGGAUGCAGCUGUUCACGGUCAGCUUUCCAAAGGGAGAAGGGGCAGAGCAAUUCCAUAGUUUAUGCAUGAGGGCUGUUUUUCCUCAGUAGCCUCCAUAGCUGGGCUGGAGCGAUAGCA
This is a small nucleolar RNA of Sorex araneus (European shrew), 131 nucleotides long. The record is from Ensembl. NCBI's taxonomy places the organism in Eukaryota, Metazoa, Chordata, Mammalia, Eulipotyphla, Soricidae.